Long non-coding RNA from Passer montanus (Eurasian tree sparrow), 289 nucleotides. RefSeq lists it as uncharacterized. The transcript is spliced from 3 exons. The record is from RefSeq and is a predicted model, not a curated record. NCBI's taxonomy places the organism in Eukaryota, Metazoa, Chordata, Aves, Passeriformes, Passeridae.
UGGGAAAUGACACUGGAUCCUGGAUUCUGGCUCAGCUCCCAGCCAUUGUAACCUCACUUCUGCAGAGGGUUACCCCUGAUUUACACAGCAAUCAAUCCAGUAUCUGCUGAUACUGCCAGGCAUUGAUGAGGUCUGGAAUGGAGUAUUACGGGACAGGUUUUUGGAAGUCUCCUGUGAUUAGUCCCAUCCCCUAAUGAGAUUACAGCACCCAGGUGACGCAGCAGUGCCUCUGCAGAAAUGUUGAAGAGGCUGAUUGAGGCGAGCUAGCAGGAGCUCUGUGGAACAGCCU